This 417-nucleotide ribosomal RNA is filed under the name uncultured bacterium. Its description in RNAcentral is "bacterial SSU rRNA". It matches the Rfam family "Bacterial small subunit ribosomal RNA", at positions 360 to 774 of the family's 1533-position model. The record is from RNAcentral.
AAUAUUGGGCAAUGCCCGCAAGGGUGACCCAGCAACGCCGCGUGGAGGAUGAAUGUCGUAAGAUUGUAAACUCCUGUUAGAGGGGAAGAAUAGUACCGGUUGGACCGGUAUAUGACUGUACCCUCAGAGAAAGCCCCGGCUAACUACGUGCCAGCAGCCGCGGUAAUACGUAGGGGGCAAGCGUUGUCCGGAUUUACUGGGUGUAAAGGGCGCGCAGGCGGGAUAAAAAGUCAGUGGUGAAAUCCUACAGCUUAACUGUAGAACUGCCUUUGAUACUUUUAUUCUUGAGUUCGGGAGAGAGAGACGGAAUUCCAGGUGUAGUGGUGAAAUACGUAGAUAUCUGGAAGAACACCAGUUGCGAAGGCGGUCUCUUGGUCCGACACUGACGCUGAGGCGCGAAAGCGUGGGGAGCAAACA